GGCCUUGACAUACUAAGAACUUUCCAGAGAUGGAUUGGUGCCUUCGGGAACUUAGAUACAGGUGCUGCAUGGCUGUCGUCAGCUCGUGUCGUGAGAUGUUGGGUUAAGUCCCGNAACGAGCGCAACCCUUUUCCUUAUUUGCCAGCGGGUCAUGCCGGGAACUUUAAGGAUACUGCCAGUGACAAACUGGAGGAAGGCGGGGACGACGUCAAGUCAUCAUGGCCCUUACGGCCAGGGCUACACACGUGCUACAAUGGUCGGUACAAAGGGUUGCUACCUCGCGAGAGGAUGCUAAUCUCAAAAAGCCGAUCGUAGCCCGGAUCGCAGUCUGCAACUCGACUGCGUGAAGUCGGAAUCGCUAGUAAUCGCGGAUCAGAAUGCCGCGGUGAAUACGUUCCCGGGCCUUGUACACACCGCCCGUCACACCAUGGGAGUUUGUUGCACCAGAAGUAGGUAGUCUAACCGCAAGGAGGACGCUUACCACGGUGUGGCCGAUGACUGGGGUGAAGUCGUAACAAGGUAAGCGUAGAUGA
RNAcentral lists this ribosomal RNA (533 nucleotides) under uncultured bacterium. RNAcentral's name for it is "bacterial SSU rRNA". It matches the Rfam family "Bacterial small subunit ribosomal RNA", at positions 977 to 1509 of the family's 1533-position model. The record is from RNAcentral.